This is a non-coding RNA of Podarcis lilfordi (Lilford's wall lizard), 20752 nucleotides long. The record is from the annotation of a GenBank genome assembly. Lineage: Eukaryota; Metazoa; Chordata; Lepidosauria; Squamata; Lacertidae.
GUGAGGGGAGAGGGAGGGAGCAGUUCCAGCAGAAGAAGCAGGAACUUCAGGGGAAGUUGGCAUAGGCAGAGUCAGCUGCAGACACAGAAGGGAAAGCUGGGUUGACUGCCUCCUGUCUACCUGAGCUGCCAACAUUUUGCUGUUGCAGAUGUCUCAAGACUCCUGUACUUGUUUCACUUGGUAAAGGUAAAGGUAAAGGUACCCCUGCCCGUACGGGCCAGUCGUGUUCGACUCUAGGGUUGUGCGCCCAUCUCACUUAAGAGGCCGGGGGCCAGCGCUGUCCGGAGACACUUCGGGGUCACGUGGCCAGCGUGACGAAGCUGCUCUGGCGAGCCAGCACCAGCGCAGCACACGGAAACGCCGUUUACCUUCCCGCUAUAAAGCGGUACCUAUUUAUCUACUUGCACUUAGGGGUGCUUUCGAACUACUAGGUGGGCAGGAGCUGGGACUGAAAGACGGGAGCUCACCCCGCCGUGGGGAUUCGAACCGCCGACCAUACGAUCGGCAAGCCCUAGGCACUGAGGUUUUACCCACAGCGCCACCUGCGUCCCUUCUUGUUUCACUUACAUAGCUUCAAAAAAAGGGGGGGAGAAAAGAAAAGAAAAGAAAAGAAAAGAAAAGAAAAGAGGAAUGGAUUUUAGCUCCAAUGAGCAGAAUAAAUUCUUAUGUCCUAAAUUCCCCACUGUUCUAAGAAGUCAGAACUACCAGGGGUGCAGUUAUCCCUGGGUUUGGCUUCCUUUGGAAGGCCACCUCGAGAGUUAUUGUGAUUUCCUAAUAUUUGUGCUUCCUUAAAAAAUAUACAUACUUUGCAUGUCCACUGCAAUUCUGUCCCUUGCUGCUUUUCACACAAAGAUCUGAAGAUGGAAAUAAUAAUAAUAAUAAUAAUAAUAAUAAUAAUAAUAAUAAUAAUAUAGUUAUUAUUUCUUACAUCCUGCCUUCCUCAUAUACAGCAUAGGGUGGCUAACAAAAUCUAAAAUCACAACACUAGAACCAAAAUAUAAAAUGCAGUACUCAACAUUUUAAACAAUCAGAAAUAUAGUUAUAUCACUCUUUGACUUUUGCCUAACCUUCUGGGACCAUUUUAGUUCCCACAAAGUCAUGUCACCUGCAUAGUAUCAGCUGUCAACUCCUGUUUAGUCAGGGCUGAGCUGCUGGCCAGGUCUUCCUCCAGGGCAACCCACAAUGAUUCUUCUCAGGAAUCUGUUAGGGAACCCAUAAGGGGAAAAAACCAAUGGAGGCUGGUCUAUUAGAAUUAGAACUUAGCCUGCCCUUAGCCAGGCCCCACCUGUCUGACUUCUUAUUUGCAUCCAGUUCAGAGAAGCCCUGCCUAUCAACUUCUACCUUAGUGUCAAAGUUGCCCUUGCAAAACUGAGCAGGGCCGAGGAUGGGGACAAAACUAGAAUGAGUUGUGUCCUUGGCUCUGCCUCUGCUUUCUGUCAGUCUCCCAGCCUUUCCUCCUACUAGUCCCAAUAAGCACCACCCACCAUUGCUAAUAUAUGCAUUUUAAUGCACAUUUUACCCUAGUAUAUGUAUUUUUGUACAUAGCUUGUGGCUGGAGAACUGCAUUGCAAAAUUCGGAGAGCUGCAAAUUUCAAAAAAUGUGUUUCAGUUCAUGCAUUUUUUAAAAGUAUGUAUUGGUUAGAUUUGUAUUUAAAUGUGAACUCAAUCAAAUUUCUCCCCAUUCCUAAUACCUCUAAAUGGGAACACUGGGAGAAAGAGUGAUAGUUUUCAUGUCCCAAAAGAUAGCUGAUUGGGCACUGUGGCAAACAAGAUAGUGGAUCAUUUUUUAUCUGAGCUAGCAGGGCUCUUCACAUGCUAUUGCUGAGCUGCUGGGUCCCCCUAAUAAUUUUGCCUGCAAUAGCCAAACAAUGCUCCUCAAAACCUUUCAGUUAUGAAACCCUUUAGUAAUGAAGGUGCAUCUUCAACAUUCCUUGAAAUUGCACAAUUAUUCCCAACUCCAGGAGUUCCAUCAGUGUCUAAGAAAUUAGCUUUCACUUCAUUAUAUCUAGCCCCCUGUUGCUUCACCUGUGGCUUCCUUUCUUUUGUAAGAUGAAUGUAAAAUAUUACUAGCAAGCAUAGGCAAACCGAAACUUCAGAUGCAUAUUUCGCAUCUCAAAUCCCUCUAUUGGAAAAGUAUCAACCAAUACCUCCACAAUGAUUUUAAUGACCUUGGUAGCUUUGAACCUGCCAAACCGUCAACAUCUUGAAACUUUUUUAUCACCUGUCAACAAAUUUAUGAUGACAAAUUAUGACAAUAAAUUUAUGGUCUAUUGUCAAAACAUAAACAAGAUGGAUUAUUCUGACAGAUUCAGAAGCUUGGUUUUGCUCUAUUUCUCAGCUGGAGACGUGGCUAAUGAAUGGUGUUUAUUGUUGUUUUGUGGCUUAUUGUUUAUUGCUAUUAAUGUUAACCAGCAUUGCUUCAAAUCAAUUAUCUGAAGAGAAUUUCCUUUUAGAUAGAAUAAGGGAUCUCCCCUCAUUCCAAUACUCCUUACUAGAUGUUGCUUUACCCCUUUUCAGAGCCAUGCCAUGCAAUCUUCUGCAUGUCUACUCUGAAGGAAAUCCUAUUUAUGUACUCCCAUGUAAAUAUUUGUGGGAUUGCAGCCUUAGCACCAUUACAUAUUGAAUAAUUUAACUGCAGUCCUAAGGACCAGUUAAAUAGUGUUUCAGCUUUUGUAAUGUAAAACAGCUCCGUUUUAUCUGGAUAAUGGCCAGAUAGGAAAGUGAAACCUCUGGUCCAUGGAGCAAACUUGGCCCUCCAGGCUGUCUUUCCCAAACCACACCACCUGCCCAUACCUGAGGACGUAUGUGAUGUCUGGUGUUGGACAGGUAAGGUAAAGGGACCCCUGACCAUUAGGUCCAGUUGUGGCCGACUCUGGGGUUCCGGCGCUCAUCUCGCUUUAUUGGCCGAGGGAGCCGGCGUCAUUUGGCCAGCAUGACUAAGCCGCUUCUAGCGAACCAGAGCAGUGCCCGGAAAUGCCGUUUACCUUCCCGCCGGAGUGGUACCUAUUUAUCUACUUGCACUUUGAUGUACUUUCGAAAUGCUAGGUUGGCAGGAGCAGGGACCGAGCAACAGGAGCUCACCCCGUCACGGGGAUUUGAACUGCCAACCUUCUGAUCGGCAAGUCCUAGGCUCAGUGGUUUAACCCACAGCACCACCCACGUCCCUUGUUGGACAGGUAGAGAUAUAGAAAAGUUUUGGAAAGCAAAAUGAUCGAGGGGAUAGAAUGGCACCCAUAUGAAAAAAAAGUUGCAGUGUUUGUGACUUUGGGGUUUAGAGAAAAGUUGAGCAAGUGGUGACAUGAUGGAAGUUAAAAAAACAACCAAUGGCAUGGAUGAAGUAUGUAUGGAUAGAGAAAACCCCCUUUCUCUUAUAACACUAGAACUCAACAUCCAUAAAUGUUGGGAGAUUUAAGGCAGAUAAAAGAAAGUACUUCUUCAUGUAGAGUGUAGCUAAACUAUGUAACUUGUUCCCACAGGAGGCAGUGAUGGCCAGCAACCUAGAUGGCUUUGAAAGAGGAUUAGAUAAAUUCAUGAAGGAGAUAGCUAUCGGCAACUAGUAGCCAAAAUGGCUGUCCUCUGCCUCCACAGUUUGAGGCAGCAAUGUUUCUGAAUUGAAAUUGAAAUUGAAAUACUUUAUUGUCACUUGUACAACUUGUAUACAGUGAGAUUACACGGACACCCCCCACUCAGCUCUCUUAGUCUUAAUUCCCCUCGUUUACUGACGCACACCCACCAACCCGAAAGUCAGUUGCCCUGUUGUUAUCUUUACAUUCAGCAGCCAAACAUCCUAUGGAUAGAAGCUGUUCUUUACUAACUAAAGAACUAAUCAUGCUUCUAUAUCUUCUGCCUGAGGGCUGGAGAUCAAGAAAGUGCUGGCCAGCAUGUGAACCAUCCCUGAGAAUUUUCCUCACUCUCCUGAGGCAACGUUCUUCCGCUAUUUCAUCCAGCGGAUUCACAGGACAGCCCAUAAUAUCUUGUGCUGUAUUCACCACCCUCUGUAGGCACUUCCUAUCAGUUGAUGUCAAACCAGCGUACCACACUGUGAUGCGGUAUGAAAGGACACUUUCUAUUGUGGACCGGUAGAAGGAGAUCAUCAAAUGUUGAUUCCAAAAAGAAUACCAGUUGCUGGAAACUACAGGAGGGAAGAGUGCUCUUGUGCUCAAAUCCUGCUUGUGGGUUUCUCCCCCCAGGCAUCUGGUUGGCCACUAUGAGAACAGGAUGCUGGACUAGAUAGGCCAUUGGCCUGAUCCAGCAAGCUCUUCCUGUGUUCUUACAUGGCUGGAUCAGCUUCUCGCAGAGCCAAUUUCUGCAGAACUCAGGAUUGAACUUCUUGUGCAAAAGUAAGUUUGUUGGGAUUUAAGUGUACAACCGAGGAGACACAAGCUAAAAUCUGUACUCUAGCCAUGAGCUUUGCUGAGAAACCUUGAGAUACUCACUAUCUCUCAGCCUAACAUGCCUCACCAGGGGUGGCGUGAGGCUAAAAUGAGAAUGAGAGGAUUCCUAUAACCUGGCUUGGAGGCUUCAUUGGAGGAAAAGGGGCAUAUACUGUAUUUUUCCAUGUAUAAGACACCCCCAUGUAUAAGACAACCCCCUUUUUUUUUUAACCCUAAAUUAAGAAAAUGCACUGUGCACUAUCUGUGUAUAAGACAACCCCUUAUUUUAAACUUCAACAAUUUAGAAAAAAAUAUAGUCUUAUAAACAGAAAAAUACGGUAAAUGUAAUAAAUAUAUACAUAAAUCUUGUAUAUACACAUAUGAUCUGGGACUGCUGUCUUAGAAUGCAAUCCUGCUCAUAUCUCCUCAAGAAUAAGUUCUAUUAACCUUGAUGGGGUUUACACACAGGUAGGGUUGCAGCCUUGUUUAUUGAAACCAAGCUAAAUCUUUCCUAUAUGUGGAAAUUCCCUUCAAUAUGACUUUUCCAAGUAUCCUGCAGUCCUUGAACUAAUUUCAUAGGUAUUUUUUUCCAAGCUGAAGACAAUUACCCCACACACACACGCACUGCAAAUUGUAUUUAAAACCACUUGUCAGACAUCAUAGGCUCAAUCCUGCCACAGUUAGAAAAACACAAAUUGUAAAUGGAGGAGAACCACCUGUAGCUAAUAAAAAAAUAAUCACCUAUUUUCUAGGAAAUCAGUCUUUCAAUUAUCCAUCAAUCACUGGCCUCAGAAGUUUGGCUAUCUAAUAAUGUAUCUGCUUUUUGUCAGGGAAUCCUGCCAGAACCGCUCUUGUUGCUGAUAUAGAUAUGAAAAACAGACAUCAGACACUGAGCGUUUCCCCCCUGCCCAUGUCUGCAAAAAGAUUUUCUGUGUCUGAAAAGUUCUUCCUGUUCUGAGUCCAAGGAAAGGCCAUUGCUGUUAAAUAGUAUGAGGCAGGGUAGCAACGCAACUGUUAGGAGAUUUUCUUCUGCAGUGGGGAAGCACAGCAGGGAGAAGUUCAGCCCCAACAUUUGAGUGAGGGGUCAGGUAUUGAGAGCAGAGAUGGGCAAAUCCCACCAUUUUGAUUUCCCUGUUUCUCAUUUUUCCAGUCAUCGGUUUGGUUCUCCACCUUUUCACAUCAGUUUGCAAUGCAGGAAAUACUCAUAAAAAUUCAUCAACACUUUAGUAUGAAUUUAUUCUAAUAUACACAUUUUCUUGUGUAGCUCUUCCGAAUAUAAUGCAAUUUUGCACAUUAUUUUCACAUAUACAUUAACAUACAGUUUACCCUAGAUAAUGCACUUCUUUGUACACCUUACUUAGCUGGCAAACUAUAUUGCAAUAUCUGGAGAAAUGUGAAUUUUGAAGAAUGUCUGUGUUUUGGUUUCAUUUUGUUUUGGAAAAUGUGAAUUAGCUACUUGAAGUGCAGACUGAAUCAAAACCCUCCCCCAUAGACUCAUAGGCAGGUGUUGUCCAAUGGGCCCCUAGGAACUGUGGUUUGAAGAACUAUUUCGGAUUUCCCCCCAAAAUGAAAUGUCCUGUGGAUAGAAGCAAUUGUCCUCACUGGCAUCAAUGAAGCCCAGAUAAAGUGGUACCUCAGGUUACAUAAGCUUCAGGUUACAUACGCUUCAGGUUACAGACUCUGCUAACCCAGAAAUAGUACCUCAGGUUAAGAACUUUGCUUCAGGAUGAGAACAGAAAUUGCACAGUGGUGGUGCAGCGGCAGUGGGAGGCGCCAUUAGCUAAAGUGGUACCUCAGGUUAAGAACAGUUUCAGGUUAAGAACAGACCUCCAGAACGAAUUAAAUUCUUAACCUGAGGUACCACUGUAGUUGUUUUGGUGAUGGGGGCAUUUGCAGUUGCCUGGAGAUCUUGGGUGAUGGCACCAGGCCCCUGUGUGUGUCAGGCGGAUAGCAUUCAGAGCCGUAACUUCUCUGUCUACCUGUGUGCCAUGUGUCAGAGGAAGAGAAUCCCCAGUAUUUUUAUUUAUUUAUAAAAUUAUUUCUAUACGGCCAAAUCAUGAAAUAUCAGGAUGGUGUUCGGAAUGGAAAUCAAUUCAGUCAAUAGGUUUGGUAUUCACUGUUGUUUCUUUCAAUCCGUAAAUGGCAUGUAAUUGAUUACAUCCCUCCCCCUCCCCCCCAAUUUGCAUUGUGUUUCUUUUGAAUUUAAAUGAAUGGAGUGAAAUAACAUAAUGACAAUGAAAUUUACGCAAUUAAUUCCAUAACUAGUAACUUACAUAUGUUAUGUAAUUUCAGAGCGGGGGGGGGGGAGAGACAUUGCUGCAUGUGACAAAUACAGGGCAAAAUGAAAAACAGUGCUUUCUUACAUCCCUAAUUACUAGUACUUGUACUAUAUCCACUUCCGUAGCCUUCACGUAAAAUUGGGACUUAACAGACUUAGAUUUAAAUAUUCCAUGUCAAUCAACUUACAGAUUGCUUGAGCUGUCCUUUUAUUUCAUUGUCAUUUUCGCAUGUGGUUUAUGAAGAAUUAGAAAUGGACGAUGCUGACCAGGAGUGCAGAAUUUAUUUACUUUUGUAGCUUCCUGUAAUGCACGUGAGUGACAUGGUUUAUUGUAGGGCAGCCUGAUGCCAUGGUUGCUCAGAGACUUGUCACAGUUCCAGUGUUUGCAAUGGCAUUGCAUCAGGUCUGUUUGCACUGCCAAUACAACAUGGCGAUUUCCAACACUAUGCUGGCACAAUAGCACUUGCAUCUUGUAUUACGCAGUUGUUAGCUGGCUCCCCAAUGCUUGGGACUGGGCUGUGAGCCAUCUAGAUGCCUUAUCUGAAGAAUUCAGGAUAUCCCAUCGUACAAAUCACCGGGACAUGCCAGCUUUUCAGGCGAAUGUUGUUAUGCAGGACUGGAAUGUUAGGCUAUAUCAGUCUUCUCCAACCUGGGUGAACUCCAGACUGUCAGGAGGGAUUCAAUUGCAUACUGGAAAUUUUGGUUCCUGCAGUUAAAGUGAAUUAAAAGGCCCUGUUGCUCUGGCACAACAAAUCUACUUUUUAUUUUUAUUUUUUUAAAACAACAACAACAACAACAACACACUUCUCAAGGUUGAGGAAGUUGUUAAAUAGUGGGUAGACAUAGCAGACGAAGCAGCGAUUUCACCAAAGCAGCUCUUUAUUUGUAAGCUGGAACAGAACUGAACAGCAAACAGCUCAGCCGGCCUGCUUUUAUAGGCAGCCGGCUGUCAACAUUGUAGCAACAACAACCCAGGGUUUCCCGCCUAAAUUAACUGACGUGGACCUGAGUGAAAACUAUAUACACGAUACUCCUGGUGGCCAGGGUGAGAACUUCAAUACAUAACAGAAGUGUACCCUGCAAAUGAGAAGGUGUAUAACUUCUGGACAAGUCAGUCGGGAAGAAGGUUCAUUGUGGUGCAACCUCCUCAGGAAUAAAUCUGUAUGCCCUCCGAUUAAGCACUGUGCAAGCAAAUACAGAUGAAAGCUCAAUAAGCAAGUCGUCUGCAAUAAAAGUUUAAAUUAUUUUUGGGAAGUUUGUUCGCCAUGUCUUAGGACAUCUCCUAAGAUAUAAUGAAAUUUGGCAUGAUGGUAUGAGAUCAAAGAGCAGGGUGUAUAUUUUAAAUAUGAGAGCCAGUGUGGUGUAGUGGCUAAGAGCGGUAGUCUUAUAAUCUGGGGAACCGGGUUCGCGUCUCCACUCCUCCACCUGCAGCUGCUGGGUGACCUUGGGCCAGUCACACUUCUUUGAAGUCUCUCAGCCCCACUCACCUCACAGAGUGUUUGUUGUGGGGGAGGAAGGGAAAGGAGAACGUUAGCCGCUUUGAGACUCCUGAAGGGGAGUGAAAGGCGGGAUAUCAAAUCCAAACUCUUCUUCUUAAAUAUACAAUUAGAUACCAUUUUGAAUUAAAAUGGCAUACUGAACUGCAGUUUCAAGACUGCACUGAUUUUUCUGAGGAUUCCCAAGCAGCAACAGGAACAAGCCUUCAGCUAAUUCAUAACCUGUGACCCACCAAGCUGUACUCAGAGAUCCAACAUUUGAUAACUUAUAGUUUUCGGUAUCAUUCAGUGGGGCUAUUUCUACCUUUGCUCCUCUCCCUGUGGAUGGUCAUGUAGUGUGGCUGUGAUUAAAAUUGUACCCCUUCAUAUUUGUCACUUGCUUUGAGUCUGUGAAGGAGAGCAAUGUGGAAUACAAGUUUCAUAGAUGCAUGAACGGGUGUUCUUAUCCGUUUGGAAGGCCUUCAUUUUAGGCAGCUUGGCCCUGGAGCAGAAUAUUAUAAGAGCUGAUUAUCUGACCCUCCAGUUCAAUAAUUACUUGUGUGGUUUCUUUCAAUGAGGCACGGUCUGCAUGCAGGGACUACAUCUACUCAGUUCCAUGUGAAGAGCUGCUUAUGUGCAGCCAUCCCUGAAUAAGAGAUUGCCUGGCAAGAAAAUAGUCUGCUUUGCAGAAUACUGCACGAGGGACGCAGUGCACUGAAACAUAUUUAAUUAAGAGAAUACCCUUGCCAUGUAAGAAAGCAUAAAUUUGUUUCCCCUUUGAACUCCAGUCUCUCCACCUCCUCAUUCUAGAAACAUCCCAGCUGCAUUCUUUAAUACUCUGACAGUUUUAAGAAUUCAUUAUGGUCCAGCACAGCCAGCAGUCUAUAUCUAUUUACCUAGCUGUAACUUUAAAAAGGUUGCUUUCCCAAUGUGCAAUGGCAACUGGUAAUAAACUCCUCUGAGCUUGAGACAUGGGAACAUAGGAAACCGCUUCAUUCUGUCAUGGACUUCUCUCGUUUCACUCCAAUCCUCCAUAUUGGUUGCACUAUGUUGGUGCAAUGAUUUUAUUUUUUAAAAAUCCUCAUAGAGUUUAUGACAGAGUUUUGUAAGAGAAGCAAAUCUUCCAGGAUUGAGCAAGGCUUGAGUUUGUGGAAUUCUACCAGUGGUCUUGUGACAUUCCUGCAUUUGUGUUUUCAUUGAACAACGCCAUAAAUGGCAAGAAAUAUCAAAACACUUGAAAAAAAUCAAAAUUAUUACUGUUGGAAUACUGAUGGAUCAUUAUUCGAUCUGAAAGGUGAGGUCUGAGAAGCAUGAAGAAAUUAUUGUGGUUGUCAUCAGAAAGGUCCCUUUGGCAGCAGUAACUGAGCUGUGGCACUCACGUUGCUAAGCCAUUUCUCCAUACUUUGCAUAAGAAACAACAGGAGUAGCUUAAAUAUCAUCAUUAUAGUGGUCAGGGGACUGCUGAUUAUAGCAUUCACAUAUUUAUGGCUACAUCUGGGAUGAGAGGAUUUUCUUCUUUUGCAAUAGCUUGCUGUAAAGAAGGAAUUCCUUCAGUCAAAUCAUUGGCAGCUCGCACAGAAGUAAAACAGCGUUCUCUCUUGUGAAGUAUGGAAGGAGUCCAUUUGAAUUAUGAUCUAAUUUGUCUGCUUCUCUCAUAAAUUUUGCAUGCAAAAGAUCCUAGGUUCUGUUCCUUUCAUAUCCACCCAGAGCUGGAAAAAGCUUCUCUCUGAAACUUUGGGCACUCAGUCAAUGUAAAACAACAUCAAGCCACUGAACCAAUGGUCUGACUUGGCCAAGGCAGCUCCCAGUGUUUCUAAAGACUAGAACUUAACAUCAGUCUGUGAAAUGGAUUGGCAUUGGGUUCAGCAAAGAAACUGCUUCUCUGCAAAUUUUAUUUAUGAAUUUCAUUGCCACAAGAUGUAGUGGUGACUACUUGUUCAGAUAGCUCUAAAACGGGUGAAAAAAAAUCUAUGGAGGCUGUUAGCAAUAAUGGCUAUGUGGAACCUUCAUGUUCCAAAACAGCCACUGAAAAUUAACUGCUGGGAAGAAAUGGGGGCAGGCAGGGCAGAGAGCUGUGACAUUUAUAUUUCAAUUACAUGGGCUUCCUGGAAGAAUAUUGUUGGUCACUGUGGGAAACAGAAAGUUGGGCUAGAUGGACCUUUGGUUUGUUCCAGCAGGGGGCCAUCUUAUGUUCUUGAGGGACAUGGAAGCAUAUAAGCUGUUGCCCAGCGGACAUCAUGUUAUCUUAUUCUGGUGGAAUACUUGGCUGCUGAUUAUGACAAGGGAACAACAGUAGACUCAUUGGUUGGGGUGGAGCUGCUACGCUAGGUUCCUGGGAAAUGAGUCACUGCUGGUGAGCAGGAGGUGUAAGGCAACAGGGUGGUCAGCAUGGUGCAAAUGCCCUGGCAGAGCCAGUUUGCACCACACUGACCUUGCUGCCACCUCCUGUCUCCUCCUUCCUGGUCAGCAAUAGCAAUCUAUCUGCUAGGACAUUAGCAUUGUGUGUCUGCCACAUCCAAUGAGCUGCUUCUGCUCAUCCAGGCUCUCUUGUUAUUGGCUCUGCAUGUUACUGAUGACUUUGAUGUUUGCUGUGCAAGCAGCUGUUAGGAGCACAGAAAAAAAGUUUUCCCAUUAUUCCUCAUUCUGGUGUUCCUUUCUGUUUCUGGCUGGAUGUUUAAAUCACAGAUUCAUGGUUUUAGACAUGUUUUUCCUAAUGUUUCUUUCAUAUAUUUGUUUUAUAGUUUUGGCUCAGUCAGACCUUUUUUCCAAGAUGGCAGUAGAGAAAAUUGUUUGCCUGAGCCAAAACUGUAAACAAAAUAUAUUGGGGAAACACAAUGUCCUAGUUUUGUGCCAGUAGAAAUGGAAGAAUAUGUCAAUUUCAGUUUUUCUCAGUUUCUUGCUUUUUCCAAUCUUCACUUCACCAAAUUGUCAGCAUGUGGACACAUUUUUGUAUGCAGCUUUGCUUAAAAUAUACAUUUCUACAAGCUGUUCCUCCAAAUAAAAUGCGUUUUUGUGUGCUAUUUACACAGAUAUAUGCAUUUUAUGCACACUUUCCCCUUAAUAUACAUUUUUUUGUAGAAGUUAUUUGGCUAAGAAUGAAAUCACAAAAUUCAGAGAAAUUUGAAUUUCGAACAGUAGUUGUAUUUCAGUCCCCAUAUUGUUUCAGGAAGAGCCAAAUUAGCUAAAAUUUGAACCAAAAUGCAUUCUACCCCACUCCCCAUCCUUAGCUGUCAGUCAAACAUAUUCUCACUACUUAAUAAUUUUGUUUCCUUUACAUUCAAUUUCUUUCAAUGAAAUAACACUUCUAUAAGCAAAUUACUGCUUUCCAUAACUGAGCUCUGUAUUGAUGGGUGAGCUUGGCAUAAUAAUGAAAUGACACACAUUUGUCUCAGUGAAACACCUCACAGAUGAUAAAGUUUCUUUCCUGUUGAAGUCAGUGGCAUUAAUGGAGUUGGACUGUGGCUAUUGUAUACAUAAAAAAUAGUGAACUUAAAAUAGAACAAUAAUGUUUAUAGUGAAGGAUUCAAGUGAUUCGUACUAGCUAAAGGCAUUGAGACCUAAGUACAGUGGUACCUCGGGUUACAUACGCUUCAGGUUACAUAUGCUUCAGGUUACAGACUCCGCUAACCCAAAAAUAGUGCUUCAGGUUAAGAACUUUGCUUCAGGAUGAGAACAGAAAUCAUGCUCCAGCGGCGCGGCAGCAGCAGGAGGCCCUAUUAGCUAAAGCGGUCUUCAGGUUAAGACCAGUUUCAGGUUAAGAACGGACCUCUGGAAUGAAUUAAGUACUUAACCUGAGGUACCACUGUACCUAAUAGAUCACCUCACUAGUAAGAACCACUUCAAGCCUUAUGGCUGGCAAGGGAGGCCCUGUUAGUGUUGGUACUGUUGAAUGUUGCCCGACUGCGAAUGUAAUGACAGGGCCUUCUCAAUAUGGUUCCCCAUUUAUAGAAUGCCCUCCCUGGCGAAGUGUGUCUUUCUCCCUCAUUAUUAAUAUCAGGAGGAAUUUUAAAACAUCCCUGCCCUUUCAGAAAAGGAAUGGAAGGACCUAUCAAUCUCUCGAUUUCUCAUUUUCCCCAUUUUAAAUUCAGUUCUCCACGUUUACAGCAAUCUUACCCUGUUUAUGUCGUGAUUUUUAAGGACAAAUCCUUUUUUUAAAAAAAAAAAAUGCAGUCUUACACGGUUGGAGGCUGUACAUACAAGGUGGUUUGUGGGCUACCUUUUUCUUCCUUUUAAGAAAAUAUCUGAAAGUUGCUUGGGAGAGUGGCGCCACGUGAAUGAAAUCUAUUUUUAAAAUGCUCCAGGAAGUGAGUGUACUUCAUAAUAUGCCAAUCUCUUACUGGAUAAUUUACAGGGGUGGGUGAGAGAUGGCUGCCUUUACAAUUUCACAGGAAGGGGUUGCACACUAUGAGGUACAGUCACUUCCUGGAUCAUUUAAAAAUAGUUUUUACCUGUGUGGCCCAACACUGCUGGGCUUCUCCAGGGAGCUUUAGCAUGCUGGCUUAAAAAGAGAAAACGCAGCCCUGGUACCACCUCUUAGGACAUUUGAUGUAUACUGUUCUAGGCAACCUUGAAAUUGCUAGCUGUGAGGAUAUAUGAUCAUUUUUCAAAUGUUUUCAGGUGUCUUAUUUAUUUAUUUUUCAAUUGUAGCAUUUGGCUGGCUUGUUGUUUGGCACCCUGGGCUCCUUUGGGAGGAAGGGCAGGACAGAAAUUUAAUCAAUCAGUGAAUAAUAAUAAAAACUGCUUUUCUGUGUUUACUUGCCUCUCGCCUGGAUUUCUGUGAUGAUAUAUAAUUUGAUUUCUAGUCACCCUCCCCCGGCUCAAUGUUUGCAAAUUGGGAGAGAUCCGUGAAAGAGGUUGAUGUUUUUUCUUGCCUUUCCAGCUGAAAGACGGAGAUAAAUCCAUAUCGAUAUUCAUGUGGAAGACUGUUUUUAAGUACAAUAAACCCCGCAAAGUGGCACUUAAGGAUGCAAGCCAGUGCACAGUUUCUUGGACUAAGCUGCAUUGAACACAGUGGUUCUAGCCUCUGUACACAAAGGAUUGUACCACAGCUCACUAAUUAUUCCCAACAUGUCUUUCUAGGCAAGAAACGCAUUUUAGAAAACAGAAUAUCAGGAGUUUGGUGGUUUUUUCAACUAAACUUGAAAUGGGAACAAGUGCGAAAUGAGAGCCCAUCUCUCAGAUACCAUCAGAAGCAGGUGCUCCCUGGAAACAAGGCUGGAAUACUGCAGUCUAACACAUUUCUUGCUCUAUUAGCUUUAUAGGCUUGGCUCAGAUAAAACAGUCUAUUCUAAUCAGCUGUUUAAACAAGACAAAUGGAAACCAUAACAUAUCUACACGCAGCAUAAGAUAUUGAUUUCAACCAUGGCUGCCCUCCUUGUUACAGGAUACCAGUAAUUGCACCUACUUGCUCAGCUCAAUGGAUGCAGGGUAGUUUUGCGAUCAUUUAUGGCUAUCCUUUAAACUGCAGCAUAGGUAGAUUUUUGCAUUGAUCUCUCCGGGGCUAAAUUGCAGGAGACCCUUUAGAUAGAUCAAUUUGGUACAUUAGUGUAAAAGGAGAAAGAUAGGAAAUGGGACAAAACAGGUGGUUUUAUCUCCAUAUGCAGGGGUAGCCAAAGUGGUGCCCUCUGGAGAACAUUAAAUGUCAAGUCCUAUCAGCCCCACCAACACUGGUCAAUGAUAAUGGGAGUUGUAGUCCAACAACAUCUAAAGGGUAUCUCGUUGGCUUUCUAUUGCUUUAAGGGGAUAUUUUAAUCUGGCCUUUGGUCCAUCAACUCUCAUAUUCUACUUUCCAAUUGGCAGCGAUUUUCUGGACCUCCUUCCCAGUAUUGCUGCAUGAGCUAUUUCAAACAGAGACUAAAUUUGUGGACCUAUAUGUGCAAAGGAUGUGCCCUUCUUUAUGCCUGAUCGAUGGCACCUUUCUGCUCAGAUUGUUAUGGACACAGCCUACCACAGUCCAUUUCAAACAGAUGUUAGGUGGGUUCUUCUGCUUCAUUUGGUCCUGCACUAUGUCAGUGAAUGAUGGCUUCAGACAUUACAUUAUGAAGACAAAGCAAGCACUGGAAUCACCCACAUUCCUUCUUUCUACUCUACAUGGGGGCAUCCACAAAGGAGAGAUUACACACAUCUUCCUCUGCAGAAAGGUACUUGAAGAGCUCAGCCUGCAUCAAAGGCUUGCACAUCUCACAGCUGACCUCUUUGGAUACUGCAAUGCAAGGCACAAAGUGCAAUCCCCGGGGAGUUGUUCACUCCCCUCCCCACCAGGCUUGUAACAUCCGAAACUGUGUUGGGUGCAGAAAAAGCACAUAUCUUAUUGCAAGCUUUGCCAAAAUGCCCCCAUCAGAGACUAAAUGCAGAGUCGCUUUAGAAAAGGGUUCCACACACUGCUGUGCAGCACUGCCAGCAAAUAUCAAAAUAUAUUAUUAAAAAAAUGAUUUACUUUUACUGUUCACUUCCCAGAGCUGUGAUAAUAUAACUGCUUUUUCAGCUACCUCAUCUUGGAUGAAAUUCAUUCCAGCUGCCAAGGGACCCAUCUGUGGAUGCUUAUUCUCGAAGAGCUUUUCUUUGUAGGAAUAUUCCUGCAAGAUUUCCUGAUGCCUUUAGAUGCUGUCAUUGCCAAUUUGUGGCUUGUGGGGGCGGGGCACCCUCCUCCAUCGAAGACUCACGGGAUAUUCGUUUUAUAUAGCUGUGUGCUUGAACGAUCCUUUCUCCCCGUCACAGUAUAAUGCUUCCAUAAAGAUAAUGUAUAAUGUUGCUUGUCAAAUGCAGAUGGGUGACUGGACGUACCCUAAUAUGGAAUUAAAUGAGAAUUCUUGUUGUUAUUUUUACCUUUGGCAUGAAGACUUGGCUUAGACCCCAUAAUGCUUGCUAAAGUUUUUCUCCUGGCUGAGGGUAAUCAGUAGCAAGAGCUAUGAGAAUGUAUUGUUCAAGAAACCUUCCCUCAGCAUUUUAAUUGAAUGAAAUCUUGAUAUGAUAUUUAGCCAAAGGCGGGGCAGAAGAAGCUUCUUGCAGAGCACUCAUAACACUAUUCAGUUCCUUAUUACCACAACAUUUUCCUCUGGAACUCCAUACCACAAGCUCAUUAUGGGACAAAAGGAAGGGAACAUGGCAGCGACAAAGUUACUCCUGAAAUGUGACUAGACUCAACAGAGCCAGGUUGUGUCUCUGACCUAACUAUCCAUGAGGACCUAUUCUUUUCUUGGUUGGCAUUUCAUUAUAUGAUAUUCUUUAAUAACAUAAUGUUACCUCAUACAGUCCUUUGCAUUUGAGGGGAUAAUAUGGGAUCGUGAGGUGAAAGUAGACAUUUAGCAAUUUAGCCAGAAGGCCACAGCGUUCUAUUCACCAAAGGUAACUCCUAUUAACAGUGUUCCAAACAUGGUGUUUAAAGAGGUUUAGCAUGUUGCUGUAGGCAUAAGAGAGCAGAGGGCACACACUGCAAUAGCAAGAGUCUGGCUAAUUGAUGGCUGAAGGUACAGGAAUCAAGGAAAACGAAUUAUUAUAUUGUACCCUGAGGCUUACAAGGGAAGCCAGCAAGAUCCGUACAACAAAGGGUAAGAGAAAACAAGACUGAGUUGUGUGGGGGGAAAUAAUAAUCAAAGUCUGCACUACACAGUAACUGAUCUUUAAUCUGACAAAUCCACAUGGUUUCACGGACCACCAAGAAUAGCCUUUGCCAACCUGGUGCCCUCCUGAUGUUUUGGACUGCAUCUACCACUGGCUCCAGCUAGCACAGCCAUUGUGGGGGCUGAGCUGUGAGCCUCCAGGUUUUGGAGUCAGGAAAGUUUCCCUAUUUAUCUUCACAGUGGGGCCCAGGCAAUGGGUCUGUGCCUUGUCAUGCCCUUUGGCUGGACAAGGUUUGCCUCACCCAAGUCAGUUAACUUAGAAUAGUUUCCCACAGAAGUCUGCCAUAAUAUAUGUUAUCGGAGUUCAAGCCAUUUCCUGUUUCUUAACUCUUUGUUCCUGGUUCUGGUCACAAGACUUGACUCAAAACAUGGGAAUUCCAUUUAGCCAGUCAGUUCCAUUGCUCAGGAGCCAGGUGUUGUAGCCAGAAGUUGCUGAACUACAAUUUCCAGCAGCCAUAGCUUGCAUAAUCAGUUGUUAGGGAUGGUGGGAGUUGUAGUUCAGCAACAACUGUAGGGCUGCAAGUUCCCCAUCCCUACCAUAGUUAUUAGCUGGGGAUAUAUUUAUUCUCUAUGGCAACCCUUCCAACCUGGUGCCAUACAGAUAUUGGACCACAGCUCCCAUCAUCUCUGAACAUUUGGCUGGGCCUGAUGGGAGUUAGAAUCCAGCAUAAUCUGGAGUUGGUGAAGGCAGUGGCGAAGCUGCAUGCUCCGCUACCAGGAGUGGAGAGCAGGCGGGGGCAUGGUGCGCGCCCGGGGGCAUGGCACGCCACCCGCAAGGGUGUGGUGCACAGCCUGGGGGUGUGGCACGCUGCCCGCGAGGGUGUGGCGCACCACCCACAGGGGUGUGGAAUGUGGUCUGGGGGUGUGUCAUGCUGCCUGUGGGGGCAUGGCACCCGGCGCAUGGGGGGUGUGGCACGUGCCCAGGGGGGCACCGUGAUGGCACCCUGCUGGAAUAGUGGUGCUGUGGGUGGUCCGCUCCCUGCACACUCCCAUUCCUCCGCCAGUGGGUGAAGGCAACUUGAUGGGUCAGCUUCAGACUUCCUAUGAGAGGAGUUCUGAUCACAGGAAGCUCCCACCGAAGGAAGUGGGGAGGCAAUUUUUGCUACCUCCCUCUUCCCCUGCAGCCUCUCCAAUAUUUCCUGGUGGGUUGGAAGCCCUUCAGAGCUGGGGCUGCAUCUUCAGAGAUGGGGAAAACCAUCUCCUCGUCUUCCUCCAGCGUAGGUGUGGGGAAUCUUUAGUCCAACAGAUGUUACCGAACUAUAACUCCCAUUAUCCCUGGCCAUUUUCAUGCUUGCAGGGGAUGAUGAGAGUUCAGCAAUAUCUGGAGGACCAAAGGAUUUCUACACUUGUUCCAAUGGAACCCCACACUGAAUAGGAGUCUCUUCUGCAGAUGACUCCAAACUUAUGACUAUGUCUUUAAAUAGAUGGCUUUAAUUAAAUAUUAAAGCCAUUUAAGCCAGUAGCCAUCAUCACAUCUUAGAGCAGCAAAUUCCAUAAGUUAAUUCUGCAUUUCCCGAAGAUAUGUUUUCAUUUUCCUGCCUAACUCCACUGCCAGUCAAUUUGAUUUGAUGACCCCAAGUUCUAGUAUUGUGAAAGAGGAAGAUGUGUAUCUCUUUUCACUCUCUCCACUCCAUUAAUAACUUUACAAAACCAUCAUAUUUUUAAUUAAAAACUUCUAAACACUUUAGCCUUCGCUUAUAGGGCAACAUGCUUCAACAUCCCUUGAUUGUGUUUCUUUUCCAUGGUAGCCUUUUGGAUUUUUUAGAUUGGCACAUAGUAUUCCAAAUGCAGCCACACCAUCAAUGUUCAUAAAAGCAGGGGAAGGGCCAUAGCUCAGUGGUAGAACAUCUGCUUUGCAUCCAGAAAGCCCUGGGUUCAAUAUCAGGCAUCUCCAGUUUGGGCCAAGGUUGACCCAUCUGAAAUCCUGGAGAGUCAACCAGUGUUAAAAAUACUCCAGUAGUGGGAUCUAUGUGAACAUACAUUGUCUUAUACAGUAGUGGCAAUGGACUCUCCAGGUGUCUCUCCUAGCUUUCCCUGGUGUGUCUCUUCCAGAGAGAUGCCUCUCCAAGCUGUACCUGGAGAUGCCAAGGAUUGAACCUUUUUUGCAUGCAAAGCAUAUGCCCUGAGCCACAGCCCUUCCCUUUUAUCCUGGCUCCUGUGAUUCCUACCAUGAAUCUUGCCGUUCUCAGUACUACUGAGACAUUGGUGUUUUCAUUCCGUGGGCCACCACAAAAUCAAGAUCUCUUUCCUAGAUAGUCAUAACCUUUUCAGUUCCUACAUAUACAUAAGAUCUUUUGUCUUAAUGUGCAUCAGAUUAGGCUUAUAUUUUGUUGCCCAUUUACCCAGCUUCAGCCAUGGCUCAUGAGGUGAGUCGAAACCACUAGCUUCACUGCAGAUGUCCUGCUGUUGCUUAUUGGGAGGCAUGGGGUGGAAGAGAGGUUUUGAUGCUGCAGAUGAACUGGCAGGGAUUACACUUGCAUCACAUCAACCUCCCCUUGUCUCACCCCUCCCAGUAUGCAAGAGAUAACCACCUGCUGAAAGGCGAGCAUAGUGGCUCACCUGGCAAUCUGCUUCUGCCCAGUUUGGGGAGAUCCCUUUCAAGCUGUUUGAAUCAUCACCAUCCUGAAUUAUUUGGUGUCAUCCACUAACUAAGGCCCGUCCCUUCUCACUCCAGUAUCAUUUCUUUGAAGGUGAAAGAGUGAUGGUCCCUUGGGAAAUCUCACUGCUUAUUUCCUUCCAUUGUGAAAAGCGUCAGUUGACUCCCAUUUCAUUGUCUUUAACCAGUUAUUGAUCAGCAAGAGGACUUGUCCUCUUAUUCCCUGGCUGCAACGUUUCCUUAGACUCAGGAAGGGACUUUGUCAAAAUUCCAAGUUUAUAAUGCAGCAUAGGCAGUUCUUAUGAGGCUUUAAUGUUGAGUAAUAUUGUUAUAGUUAUAGUCAUUAUCAUUUCAGCAUGAGUAGCCAGUACUGCAUAAUUUAAUAAUAUUACAUGUCUUAGAAAAAUUAUUCAUCCUCCAGCCAUGAGUCAUGACAUGAGAUUUUAUUAGAAGAAAGACAAUAGAUUUAUUUGUAAAAUCUUUGCUGUGUUCUAGGAAUUCUGAUUUUUAAGUAAGUUUUCUAGACUGCACAAAGGCUUGCCAUGUUUUGACUAUGGUUGCAGCCCUUUGGGUAUAUUUCUUCACUUUAUUUAUUUCAAAACAAUGCAGUGAAAGGAAGCUCUAAGUACUGCUGCUUUUUGAGUUCUUCUUAUCCAACAAUUCUUUCCUUGUAUUUGAAGAAUUCGAUAGCUCCUUUCACACCAUCAAUGUAUAGUGGUGGAAGGGAAGUGGGCCUGUGCUGCUAGACCUGUCCCAAAUCUCAUGCCCUCCCCAACUUCACCCCCUCAGCAUCUGUACAGGAGCUGUAAUUCAUUUUUUCUGACCAAACCUGCCACACAUUACCAGGGAUAAGCUUCUUCGUAUCUACACAUCUAAACACUUUCCAGCUUCUCCAAAGAUGGAGCCAACACUUGCAGUUUCAGGAUAUUUCUCAGCAGUUGCUGUGGAAGAAAAAAACUAAUAAGGCUGGGCUCCUGCAUUGGCUAUCUCCAAAUUUCCUCUGUUGUUUUAAAGCUAAUCUAAUUGGCUGGCUAUCUCAGGAAUGGAUGUCAGGAUUCUGUGUAGCAUCAACUGAGGAAUAUCUUUGACAAAGUAGCCACUUCCUUAUGGUUUCAUCCUCUAGACUGUGGAUUGGCAAACCAGAUGUUCAGAGACCUUCAGACAAAUCCCCUCAGUUGGAUCUAGACAUUACCACUAACAGAAGGAUCUGUUUUUGGCAAUGAUUAAACUCAGCAGGAAGCGUCACAACGAAUUGUGCUAAAUGAAGCAUGACCUUACAAAGUCUUAAUACAGAUCAAACCGAUUUAGGUUUUUGUUCUGUUUCUCCCUUCAUGGUUCUGCACAUGAAGCACAAAAUAGACAGGAAGGUAGGGGAAAGGACAGAAAGAACAUUACAAUAAUGUGCCUACGUAUCUGUGGUUUCAAAGCUAAUUUAAAACCUUCAAACGAAAAGCAAAUGGUAGUGAUAUUGUUUACUACUGCCAUAAUCUUUCCAGCGCCUUCAGCAGUUUGUUUGGAUCAGGUUCUGAAUGUCUGCUAAGAAAUGGUUUGGAGAAGGAUAGUCAAGUUAAUUAAAUAAAGAUGGACAUGUGAAAAUAAUGGAAAUCCGCCAUGGAAAUGGCCUUGGGAACUGUGGCUGCUUAUUUUGAGGUCAUUCUAAAAGGAAGUUCAGUUUGAUGUAUCAAAACAGUUAGUACAUCAAAGCUCUGUACAGGAGUUGUUUAUAAGACUAUAUACUCUCCUGUGCAAAGACUUUGGCUAAAGUCACAAGUAGGGAUGGGGAAUCAAACAAAUUCAGUUCACAAUUAAAGGAGAACCUACCUAAUUCACACAUUUUGAAACAAUAUGUGCACUAAAGCAUAGAUUUUUCAAAAUUUACAUUUCUUCAAAUUUUGCAAUGCAUUUCUCCAGACAAGCAAUGUAUGCAAAAAUGCAUAUGUAAGGGCAAGGUGUGCACAAAACUGUGUAUACAGCUUAAAAUAGCAUAUAAAAUGCAUUAUAUUUGGGGAAAUUGCAUUGCAAAAAUGAGUUUCUUAGGCAAAACUGCGUACAAAAACAUGACAGUUACAAUAAAUCUGCGCUAAAAUGCUAAUGAAUUUUCAUGAGAACCUUAUACCCCCCCCCCAAUUUAUUUAUUUUUACAAACAGAUAUGGAAAUAUGGAGAACUGAAAAUUGGCAGCCAUCUCAGGUCACCUGGUGGUAAAAACACCCCUUCCCCAAUUGAAUGAACUUUCAGCUUUCUCCACAUGGACAUUAUUUCCCAAACCUGAAGAACAGCAUGGUUUAUCUUACAUUACCUACUGGAGCUGCUUUUGGAAUACCACUUUAUAAUAUCAAUGAAUAUUUGCAUGAUAUGAGAGCGUUACAAACCCUGCUGGAAAUCAUGAAUGUAAAUGAGUUAAUAAAAAAG